Molecule: ribosomal RNA, 1598 nt
Filed under: Salmonella enterica subsp. enterica serovar Typhi str. CT18
Lineage: Bacteria; Pseudomonadati; Pseudomonadota; Gammaproteobacteria; Enterobacterales; Enterobacteriaceae
Description: partial 23S ribosomal RNA
Rfam family: Bacterial large subunit ribosomal RNA
Source: RNAcentral
AACGUUAAUCGGGGCAGGGUGAGUCGACCCCUAAGGCGAGGCCGAAAGGCGUAGUCGAUGGGAAACGGGUUAAUAUUCCCGUACUUGGUGUUACUGCGAAGGGGGGACGGAGAAGGCUAUGUUGGCCGGGCGACGGUUGUCCCGGUUUAAGCGUGUAGGUAUGUGUUCCAGGUAAAUCCGGUUCACUUUAACACUGAGGCGUGACGACGAGGCACUACGGUGCUGAAGCAACAAAUGCCCUGCUUCCAGGAAAAGCCUCUAAGCAUCAGGUAACAUCAAAUCGUACCCCAAACCGACACAGGUGGUCAGGUAGAGAAUACCAAGGCGCUUGAGAGAACUCGGGUGAAGGAACUAGGCAAAAUGGUGCCGUAACUUCGGGAGAAGGCACGCUGACACGUAGGUGAAGUGAUUUACUCACGGAGCUGAAGUCAGCCGAAGAUACCAGCUGGCUGCAACUGUUUAUUAAAAACACAGCACUGUGCAAACACGAAAGUGGACGUAUACGGUGUGACGCCUGCCCGGUGCCGGAAGGUUAAUUGAUGGGGUCAGCGCAAGCGAAGCUCCUGAUCGAAGCCCCGGUAAACGGCGGCCGUAACUAUAACGGUCCUAAGGUAGCGAAAUUCCUUGUCGGGUAAGUUCCGACCUGCACGAAUGGCGUAAUGAUGGCCAGGCUGUCUCCACCCGAGACUCAGUGAAAUUGAACUCGCUGUGAAGAUGCAGUGUACCCGCGGCAAGACGGAAAGACCCCGUGAACCUUUACUAUAGCUUGACACUGAACAUUGAGCCUUGAUGUGUAGGAUAGGUGGGAGGCUUUGAAGUGUGGACGCCAGUCUGCAUGGAGCCGACCUUGAAAUACCACCCUUUAAUGUUUGAUGUUCUAACGUGGACCCGUGAUCCGGGUUGCGGACAGUGUCUGGUGGGUAGUUUGACUGGGGCGGUCUCCUCCUAAAGAGUAACGGAGGAGCACGAAGGUUGGCUAAUCCUGGUCGGACAUCAGGAGGUUAGUGCAAUGGCAUAAGCCAGCUUGACUGCGAGCGUGACGGCGCGAGCAGGUGCGAAAGCAGGUCAUAGUGAUCCGGUGGUUCUGAAUGGAAGGGCCAUCGCUCAACGGAUAAAAGGUACUCCGGGGAUAACAGGCUGAUACCGCCCAAGAGUUCAUAUCGACGGCGGUGUUUGGCACCUCGAUGUCGGCUCAUCACAUCCUGGGGCUGAAGUAGGUCCCAAGGGUAUGGCUGUUCGCCAUUUAAAGUGGUACGCGAGCUGGGUUUAGAACGUCGUGAGACAGUUCGGUCCCUAUCUGCCGUGGGCGCUGGAGAACUGAGGGGGGCUGCUCCUAGUACGAGAGGACCGGAGUGGACGCAUCACUGGUGUUCGGGUUGUCAUGCCAAUGGCACUGCCCGGUAGCUAAAUGCGGAAGAGAUAAGUGCUGAAAGCAUCUAAGCACGAAACUUGCCCCGAGAUGAGUUCUCCCUGAGACUUUAGGUCUCCUGAAGGAACGUUGAAGACGACGACGUUGAUAGGCCGGGUGUGUAAGCGCAGCGAUGCGUUGAGCUAACCGGUACUAAUGAACCGUGAGGCUUAACCUUACAACGCCGAAG